RNAcentral lists this ribosomal RNA (253 nucleotides) under uncultured bacterium. Its description in RNAcentral is "partial 16S ribosomal RNA". It matches the Rfam family "Bacterial small subunit ribosomal RNA", at positions 524 to 776 of the family's 1533-position model. The record is from RNAcentral.
UACGUAGGGGGCAAGCGUUGUCCGGAUUUAUUGGGCGUAAAGAGCGUGUAGGCGGCCAAGCAGGUCCGCUGUGAAAACUCGAGGCUCAACCUCGAGACGUCGGUGGAAACCGUUUGGCUAGAGUCCGGAAGAGGAGAGUGGAAUUCCCGGUGUAGCGGUGAAAUGCGUAGAUAUCGGGAGGAAUACCAGUGGCGAAGGCGGCCUUCUGGACGGAUACUGACGCUGAGGCGCGAAAGCCAGGGGAGCAAACGGG